GACGAACGCUGGCGGCGUGCUUAACACAUGCAAGUCGAACGGAAAGGCCCUGCUUUUGUGGGGUUCUCGAUUGGCGAACGCGUGAGUAACACGCGAGUAUCCUGCCCUUGUCUUUGUGAUAUCUUCAGGAAACUCGGGCUAAUACCGCAUAGGAGCUCCUGCUCCUUGGUGGUGGUUGGUAACUUCCGGCGGUUGUGGAUGGUCUCGCUGCUUAUCAGCUUGUUUGUGGGGUUGUUGCUUACCAAGGCUUUGACGGGUAGCCGGCCUGAGCGGGGGACCGGCGACAUUGGGACUAAGGUACGGACCAGACGCGUACGGGAGGCAGAAGUGGGGAAUAUGGCACAAUAGGGGGAAGCGUGAGGCAGAAACGCCGCGUGCGGGAUGACGGGCUACGGGUUGUAAACCGCUUUAGCCUGGAACGAAGAGUGAGUGACGGUAAUGGGUAAAAAAGCACCGGCUAACUACGUG
This 468-nucleotide ribosomal RNA is filed under the name uncultured bacterium. RNAcentral describes it as "partial 16S ribosomal RNA". It matches the Rfam family "Bacterial small subunit ribosomal RNA", at positions 28 to 507 of the family's 1533-position model. The record is from RNAcentral.